CAUGUAGGCGGGAAGGUAAGUUGGUGGUGAAAUCUACAGGCUCAACCUGUAAACUGCCUCCAAAACUGCUUUUCUUGAGUACGGGAGAGGAGACUGGAAUUCCUAGUGUAGGGGUGAAAUCUGUAGAUAUUAGGAAGAACACCGGUGGCGAAGGCGAGUCUCUGGCCUGAUACUGACGCUAAUAUGCGAAAGCGUGGGUAGCGAACAGGAUUAGAUACCCUGGUAGUCC
Molecule: ribosomal RNA, 229 nt
Filed under: uncultured bacterium
Lineage: Bacteria
Description: partial 16S ribosomal RNA
Rfam family: Bacterial small subunit ribosomal RNA
Source: RNAcentral